Molecule: ribosomal RNA, 980 nt
Filed under: Microbacterium sp.
Lineage: Bacteria; Bacillati; Actinomycetota; Actinomycetes; Micrococcales; Microbacteriaceae
Description: bacterial SSU rRNA
Rfam family: Bacterial small subunit ribosomal RNA
Source: RNAcentral
UGAACUUGUGUUGCCAUGGAUUCGGAUAUUGGGCGUAAGAGCUCGUAGGCGGUUUGUCGCGUCUGCUGUGAAAUCCGGAGGCUCAACCUCCGGCCUGCAGUGGGUACGGGCAGACUAGAGUGCGGUAGGGGAGAUUGGAAUUCCUGGUGUAGCGGUGGAAUGCGCAGAUAUCAGGAGGAACACCGAUGGCGAAGGCAGAUCUCUGGGCCGUAACUGACGCUGAGGAGCGAAAGGGUGGGGAGCAAACAGGCUUAGAUACCCUGGUAGUCCACCCCGUAAACGUUGGGAACUAGUUGUGGGGUCCAUUCCACGGAUUCCGUGACGCAGCUAACGCAUUAAGUUCCCCGCCUGGGGAGUACGGCCGCAAGGCUAAAACUCAAAGGAAUUGACGGGGACCCGCACAAGCGGCGGAGCAUGCGGAUUAAUUCGAUGCAACGCGAAGAACCUUACCAAGGCUUGACAUAUACGAGAACGGGCCAGAAAUGGUCAACUCUUUGGACACUCGUAAACAGGUGGUGCAUGGUUGUCGUCAGCUCGUGUCGUGAGAUGUUGGGUUAAGUCCCGCAACGAGCGCAACCCUCGUUCUAUGUUGCCAGCACGUAAUGGUGGGAACUCAUGGGAUACUGCCGGGGUCAACUCGGAGGAAGGUGGGGAUGACGUCAAAUCAUCAUGCCCCUUAUGUCUUGGGCUUCACGCAUGCUACAAUGGCCGGUACAAAGGGCUGCAAUACCGCGAGGUGGAGCGAAUCCCAAAAAGCCGGUCCCAGUUCGGAUUGAGGUCUGCAACUCGACCUCAUGAAGUCGGAGUCGCUAGUAAUCGCAGAUCAGCAACGCUGCGGUGAAUACGUUCCCGGGUCUUGUACACACCGCCCGUCAAGUCAUGAAAGUCGGUAACACCUGAAGCCGGUGGUCUAACUCUUGUGGAGGGAGCCGUCGAAGUGGGAUCGGUAUUUAGGACUAAGUCGUACCAAAGGUCACCCA